GGAGCAGGAGAAGGAGUAAGAUGUGUGGCUGAAAAGAUCCUGAGCAUCCAUCAACAACUGGCCUUUGAGGAUUUCAGCUGGGGGAACAGUGGAGAACCCCAGGAGAGGAGCAAUCUUACCUAGCAGAUCACAUAGUAGAGAUUGCUAUCUAAGAAGACCAAGGAGAUCAAGAUGGAUUCUGUGGUCUCUUCCAACUCUGAGAUUUAGCAACUUAAAAUCACUACGUAUUAUCAACAUUGCCCCCAUGCUGUCAGUGAAUUCCUCCUCUAGACACUGAAUUCAGAAAAACAAAGGUCUUGAAAAAAUCUCUUUUGUACAGUGGGGUAGCCCAGUUUAUGGGUGUCUGGGAGAAGCUGUGCAACCAUCCAUCCUUUAAGCAUUCUCCAGCAUGUCAUUCCUUAGAGGAAAAAAUAUUUUGAGAGAAGAGAUUCCAACAGUAUAGUAAUUGUCUCUUCUGAAAACCAUUUCUAAAUUACAUGGAUCUGUAGAAGUUUGGUUGCUAAUGGCAAAUAUUCCAUGAACUCAUGCUUUUAUUGGUUCACU
This 543-nucleotide long non-coding RNA is filed under the name Monodelphis domestica (gray short-tailed opossum). RNAcentral's name for it is "lncRNA (ENSMODG00000033496.2)". The record is from RNAcentral. Lineage: Eukaryota; Metazoa; Chordata; Mammalia; Didelphimorphia; Didelphidae.